GGGAGUGAUCAUCACAGAAGUAAUGCCUUGCAUCCUAUCGAACUCCGAAGUUAGUGUGCUUGGGCGAGAGUAGUACUAGGAUGGGUGACCUCCUGGGAAGUGCUCGUGUUGCACCCC
Molecule: ribosomal RNA, 117 nt
Filed under: Eucalyptus grandis
Lineage: Eukaryota; Viridiplantae; Streptophyta; Magnoliopsida; Myrtales; Myrtaceae
Source: RNAcentral